This 198-nucleotide unclassified non-coding RNA is filed under the name soil metagenome. RNAcentral describes it as "partial internal transcribed spacer 1". The record is from RNAcentral.
UCGAAUGAACAUAGAGUCGGUUGUAGCUGGCCUUGCAAAAGGCAUGUGCACGCCUUCUCUUUCAUCCACACACCCCUGUGCACUUGUGAGACGGAGGCUUAUUUCUUCCCUUUCAUUUGGGGAGAUCAGUUUCCGUCUGCUACUACACAAAUUCAUAUAUUUAAUUCUGAAUGUAAUUGAUGUAACGCAUCUAUAUAC